AAGAAGAGGCUCGAACCAGAGAUGACGGCAUGUGAUAGGGGCCCCCACCCUGCACAUCAUGCCCAUUCCAUCCGACCUAAUCUCCCUCAUCCAAUCCUAAGGCUCGCUAGAACCAACCCGCUCUCAGCCAACUACCAAUGACCACAGACUCCAGAGAUGGGAUAAGCAAUCCAAGAUACUAAAACUCCAAUCAAACCCAGAGUAACAAGCAUAGAACCCACUUCAAAAGAAUAGCUACUAUAGAGGGACGAGGCACUGAGAAGAGGCUCGAACUGGAGAUGAUGGCAUCUAACAAGGUUACCCUCCCAAGUACCAUGCACACCACGCCCAUUCCAUCCAGACUACUACACCCUCAACCUAAUACCCUAGGCUCACUAAAAUCUAAAAGCGGGACAGACAAGGGCCUCAAAUCUUUCCGCCAUUAACAGUGCAAGAUCACCGAAUCAUAGGCUCAACCACUAACAGUGCUUAACCACCGAAUCAUCUGGCAC
Rhododendron vialii is the source of this 491-nucleotide long non-coding RNA. RefSeq lists it as uncharacterized. The transcript has 2 exons. NCBI's taxonomy places the organism in Eukaryota, Viridiplantae, Streptophyta, Magnoliopsida, Ericales, Ericaceae. The record is from RefSeq and is a predicted model, not a curated record.